Molecule: non-coding RNA, 650 nt
Organism: Ictidomys tridecemlineatus (thirteen-lined ground squirrel)
Lineage: Eukaryota; Metazoa; Chordata; Mammalia; Rodentia; Sciuridae
Source: RefSeq, a predicted model, not a curated record
ACUGAAGCUCUGAGAUGUGGGGAGGAGCGCGGAAGCUGGGCGAGGGGAGGGGAGCUGCAGCGCGCGCCCAGAGAUCCGCACGCUCCGCCUCCCAGCCCGCAAGAUGGCGGCCGCCGAGCCACCCACUUCCCUCCCCCACCCCCGGGGUCACGUGACGCCGAGGGCCAAGGCGCACGAGGGGCGGGGCGAAAGAGUGGGAUUAGCGGGAGCUGGACUAGAUCUCCCGAGGAUCCCCGAUGCGUCAGGACUCCUAGGUGCUAUCCUUUGGGAGUUUAUUCGUGCUUUCCCUGCUCCCCAACCCUGUUAAUGUAUCUGGAGACAAUAAGUUACUAUAAAUGGUGGUGCUGAGGAUCGAAACUAGUGCCCCGCGCAUGCCAUGCGAGCGCGUUACCGCUUGAGCCACAUCCACAACCCAGAGUGUAUUUUCGAGAAGUACUGACCACACAGGGUGGUCUGGCAGAGGUCACUUACCACCGGCAGUCCAUGUCAUGACUGACAGGAGGAAGGCUGGCGAGUUUCUGUGAGGUUCAGACCACACCUGCUCACACCACUCUCAGUCUUAACCAGAAUUUUUCUAGAUGCCAGUUCCAGGACUCUGUAUCCCAAAUACAAAAGUCGAAAAAAAUAAACCAGCAGUACAAUGAUCAAAA